UUAAGCAUAUCAAUAAGCGGAGGAAAAGAAACCAACCGGGAUUGCCUCAGUAACGGCGAGUGAAGCGGCAAAAGCUCAAAUUUGAAAUCUGCGUAAGCCGAGUUGUAAUUUGAAGAUGGCUACUUUGGUAAUGGCUCUUGUCUAUGUUCCUUGGAACAGGACGUCACAGAGGGUGAGAAUCCCGUGCGAUGAGAUGUCCAUUACCGUGUAAAGUGCUUUCGAAGAGUCGAGUUGUUUGGGAAUGCAGCUCUAAGUGGGUGGUAAAUUCCAUCUAAAGCUAAAUAUUGGCGAGAGACCGAUAGCGAACAAGUACAGUGAUGGAAAGAUGAAAAGAACUUUGAAAAGAGAGUGAAAAAGUACGUGAAAUUGUUGAAAGGGAAGGGCUUGAGAUCAGACUUGGUAUUUUGUAUGGCUUGCUUUCGGGCGGGUCCUCUGCAGUUUACUGGGCCAGCAUCGGUUUGGGUGGCAGGAUAAUAGCAUAGGAAUGUGGCUCUACUUCGGUGGAGUGUUAUAGCCUUUGUUGAUACUGCCUGCCUAGACCGAGGA
This 546-nucleotide ribosomal RNA is filed under the name [Candida] sp. TS-Y01. RNAcentral's name for it is "eukaryotic LSU rRNA". It matches the Rfam family "Eukaryotic large subunit ribosomal RNA", at positions 34 to 594 of the family's 3401-position model. Lineage: Eukaryota; Fungi; Ascomycota; Saccharomycetes; Saccharomycetales. The record is from RNAcentral.